UGUGUUGCUUGCAAGGGCAUAUGGUGGAUGCCUUGGCAGAUUGAACCGAUGAAAGACGUAUGAGGCUGCGAUAAGCCUCGGGGAGCCGCCAACAGGGCUUUGAUCCGAGGAUUUCUGAAUGUGGAAACACACCGCCCGUUAUGGGGUGGUACCGCUUAUGCGGGGGGUACGCAGGGAAGUGAAACAUCUCAGUACCUGCAGGAAAAGAUAUUCCGUGAGUAGUGGCGAGCGAAAGCGGAUCAGGCUAAACCGGUUGCGUGUGAUAGCUGUCAGGCGUUGCGCAGUCGGUGUCGUGGGAAAGUAUGUCCGGUCGCUGAUGAGGCCGGCAACAGUAAGAAAACAAUGUGUGAGACGAACAGGAUUGAAUACCUGGCCGAAGAGGGUGAUGGCCCCGUAGUCGAACGCGCGUUGUCUGUUGAUUGCUUCUCCCAAGUAGUACGGGACUCGAGGAAUCCCGUGCGAAUCCGUCCAGACCGUUGGAUAAGCCUAAAUAUUUCAAUCUGACCGAUAGCGAACGAGUACCGUGAGGGAAAGGUGAAAAGUACCCCGGGAGGGGAGUGAAAUAGUUUCUGAAACCAUGUGCUUACAAACCGUCGGAGCCUUUCGGGGUGACGGCGUGCCUAUCGAAAAAUGAGUCUGCGAGUCAGUGAUAUGUGGCAAGGUUAACCCGAGUGGGGGAUCCGUAGCGAAAGCGAGUCUUAAAAGGCGUUUUAGUCGCAUGUCCUGGACCCGAAGCGGGAUGAUCUAGCCCUGAGCAGGUUGAAGCGCGGGUAAGACCGCGUGGAGGACCGAACCCACUUAGGUUGAAAACUGAGGGGAUGACUUGGGGUUAGGGGUGAAAGGCCAAUCAAAUUCCGUGAUAGCUGGUUCUCUCCGAAAUGCAUUUAGGUGCAGCGUCGAUUGAUUGCUUCCAGGGGGUAGAGCUACUGGAUGCUUGCGGGCCCAUAUCGGGUACCAACAGCAGCCAAACUCCGAAUACCUGUGAAGUCUAUUUCGGCAGUGAGUCUGCGGGGGAUAAGCUUCGUAGUCAAAAGGGAAACAGCCCAGAUCGUCGUCUAAGGUCCCUAAGCGUGUGCUAAGUGGGAAAGGAUGUGGAGUCGCAUAGACAGCCAGGAGGUUGGCUCAGAAGCAGCCAUCCUUGAAAGAGUGCGUAACAGCUCACUGGUCUAGUGGUUCCGCGCCGACAAUGUAGCGGGGCUCAAGCACACCACCGAAGACGCGGCAUUAGUCUUAUGGCUAAUGGGUAGGAGAGCGUUCCGUACGGGGCGAAGCGGCGAGGGAACUCAGCCGUGGACUGUACGGAAGUGAGAAUGCAGACAUGAGUAGCGAAAUGGGAGUGACAAUCUCCCACGCUGGAUGACUAAGGGUUCCAGGGCCACGUUCAUCGUCCCUGGGUUAGUCGGGUCCUAAGGCGAGGCCGACAGGCGUAGUCGAAUGGAUGAAGGAGUUGAUAUUCUCCUACCGGCUUUCAACCGUCAAAUCCGAGAUUUGGGGUACUAACCUCCUCGUUGACUUGAGGCGGCCUUCGGGUCGUCGAUGGUUUUCGGGUUGGGACCUUCCCUUACAGUAGGACAGCACAGGAGUGACACAGAAUGGUAACCGGCUGCGGAGGUGGUCUUCCGUGGUUAAGCACGCAGGGUGUUCGGUAGGUAAAUCCGCCGGAUAUUGCCCGAGGUGUGAUGAUGGGGGCUUUUUAGCCCGAACUCGGCGAUCCAGGCUGUCAAGAAAAACUUCGGUGUUAGGUUGUUAGCCGCCCGUACCCUAAACCAACACAGGUGGUCAGGUAGAGAAUACCAAAGCGAUCGAGCGAAUCCUGGUCAAGGAACUCGGCAAAUUACUCCCGUGCCUUCGGUAUAAGGGAGACCCGUCUCGGUGGACUUCUUCACGGAGCGAGCUGUAGCGGGUGGCACAGACCAGGGGGUAGCGACUGUUUACCAAAAACACAGGUGCAUGCGAAGACGAAAGUCGCUGUAUAUGCACUGACGCCUGCCCGGUGCCGGAAGGUUAAGAGGAUCUGUCAGCUUCGGCGAAGCAGUGAAUUUAAGCCCCGGUAAACGGCGGUGGUAACUAUAACCAUCCUAAGGUAGCGAAAUUCCUUGUCGGGUAAGUUCCGACCUGCACGAAUGGCGUAACGACUUCCCCACUGUCUCGACCAGGAGCUCGGCGAAAUUGCAGUACGAGUAAAGAUGCUCGUUAAGCGCAGAAGGACGAAAAGACCCCGGGACCUUUACUAUACCUUGGUAUUGGUAUUAGGUGCGAACUGUGUAGCAUAGGCGGGAGACUUUGAAGCUUGGGUGCCAACUCGAGUGGAGUCAACAAUUGAAAUACCGCUCUGUUCUCAUUUGAUAUCUAACCUCGAUGUGUUAUCCACAUCAGGGACAGUGCCUGGCGGGUAGUUUAACUGGGGCGGUUGCCUCCUAAAGAGUAACGGAGGCGCUCAAAGGUUCCCUCAGCCCGGUUGGCAAUCGGGUGUUGAGUGUAAUUGCACAAGGGAGCUUGACUGUGAGACUGACAGGUCGAGCAGGGACGAAAGUCGGAAAUAGUGAUCCGGUGCCGGUGUACGGACGCGGCAUCGCUCAACGGAUAAAAGGUACCCCGGGGAUAACAGGCUGAUCAUUCCCAAGAGUCCAUAUCGACGGGAUGGUUUGGCACCUCGAUGUCGGCUCGUCGCAUCCUGGGGCUGUAGCAGGUCCCAAGGGUUCGGCUGUUCGCCGAUUAAAGCGGCACGCGAGCUGGGUUCAGAACGUCGUGAGACAGUUUGGUCUCUAUCCUCUGCGCUCGUUGGAAUUUUGAGAAGACCUGCCCAUAGUACGAGAGGACCUGGGUGGACGAACCUCUGGUAUGCCAGUUGUCGCGCCAGCGGCACGGCUGGUUAGCUACGUUCGGAAGGGAUAACCGCUGAAAGCAUCUAAGCGGGAAGCCUGCUUCAAGAUAAGAAUUCCAUGAGACCUCGAGUCUCUGAAGACUCCAUGUAGAACACAUGGUUGAUAGGCCGGAUGUGGAAGCCCCGUAAGGGGUGGAGCUGACCGGUACUAACAGUCGAAAGGCAAUCAUACU
This 3057-nucleotide ribosomal RNA is filed under the name Bifidobacterium crudilactis. Its description in RNAcentral is "23S ribosomal RNA". It matches the Rfam family "Bacterial large subunit ribosomal RNA". The record is from RNAcentral. Lineage: Bacteria; Bacillati; Actinomycetota; Actinomycetes; Bifidobacteriales; Bifidobacteriaceae.